Molecule: ribosomal RNA, 525 nt
Filed under: Triticum aestivum (bread wheat)
Lineage: Eukaryota; Viridiplantae; Streptophyta; Magnoliopsida; Poales; Poaceae
Description: partial small subunit ribosomal RNA
Source: RNAcentral
AUGUUGCGCAGUUCCAAAUAUCUCAACAGUAAUGUUCUAUUAUCAAACGGAGGUUCUACAUCUGGAGAGGCAUCCUUCCUAGGGACUGCACGUGUGAUUGGGUGGUUCAAUCUAAUGCUUGGCACAUAUAUCUACAACCGCUACUUAAAGCAUAAAAAACUCAGGAAUAUUCUUAUGUUUGCACAUGUUGGCCUAGCGAUAAUUACUGUACUGGACAUUUUACUGGUGUCAAGAUUACACAUUCAGUAUGGAAUAGCAGACAAAUACAUGGUGCUGUGGGGCUCUGCUUUAGCCGAUGCAAUCAACCAAUUCAAGAUGAUGCCGUUCCUAAUCCUCUCAGGACAGCUUUGCCCGCCUGGAAUCGAGGGCACACUGUUUGCUCUGUUCAUGUCCAUAAACAACCUCAAUUCGACAUUAGGUUCAUUCCUUGGAGCUGCAUUGGCGUCAGCUUUGAACAUCCCCUAUCGGAUUUUUGUUUCUGAUUCCAAGGGACGUUACGGGACUAACAUCGGGUUACAGACUUGA